RNAcentral lists this long non-coding RNA (2238 nucleotides) under Bos grunniens (domestic yak). RNAcentral describes it as "lncRNA (ENSBGRG00000016368.1)". The record is from RNAcentral. Lineage: Eukaryota; Metazoa; Chordata; Mammalia; Artiodactyla; Bovidae.
AUGAACCAAGCAGAAUUAUAUGCAGUAAUUUCAAGAGAUUUAUGGCAAAUGAAUGUGAGGUAUGGACAGACCUUUCAGGUCUUUUCAUUGCUCUUCAGUGAAGAAAGGCACAAGCAAGAAAAUACCCAGCUUUCUUGUGUUAUCUUAGUGUUGCUCCUGCAGAAAAGUGACAAUGCCUGCCUGUGUAAAUUUAUGGCUUACUGUCAAAGCUUCAUUCUUGGCUGCAUGAGCAACACUAAGAAAUGGUUUUCACAUUGUUUCAGGGAAAGGGGUACAGUCUUGUCACCAUGCAGCGCCUGCAGCUGUGACUCAGGUGCUGUCAUGGGGCCUGAGCCCCUACCUCCUACCUGAAUGGCAACCUCAGUGAACAGUAGUGAGGCCUCUUUUUCUAAGUGGAAAAACCUCGAGCAAAAAUCUAAAAAUCUUAUGUUUGCAUGGCCAAGAGCAACAUGGGGUACUGGGAAAUUCCAUCAGUAAGCCAAGCAACUUCUUGGCAGCAGGAACCCUGUCUUUUUAUCUGUUUCCUUCGUUCCUAGCAUAAAUUUUAGUAAGUGCUUCUCCAAUGAGUGGUUUAGUAUGUGGACAAACGAACAUGGCUUAGAAAGGACGCUGGUAACUUAACCUCCCAGGAGUCUCUCAUUAAAACCCCCGUAUCCCAGCAGGUAUCUUUCCUAGCAGAGAAGUGAAGUCACAGAUACACACAAUGUAAAUGAUCAUGUUUUGGACUUAGGCAACAGCUGAUACAAAAACACUGCAGACUCAUCUGUGACUGAUUGGAAUACUGUACACAGUAAAUGGUAGCCUGCAUUUGAGCCUGUAUAGACAAUGGCACCCCACUCCAGUACUCUUGCCUGGAAAAUCCCAUGGACGGAGGAGCCUGUUAGGCUGCAAUCCAUGGGGUCGCUAAGAGUCGGACACGACUGAGCAACUUCACUUUCACUUUUCACUUUCAUGCAUUGCAGAAGGAAAAUGGCAGGCCACUCCAGUGUUCUUGCCCGGAGAAUCCCAGGGACGGGGGAGCCUGGUGGGCUGCCAUCUAUGGGGUCACACAGAGUCGGACACGACUGAAGUGACUUAGCAUUCACUGGAAGGACUGAUGCCGAAGCUUCCCUAUACUCUGGCCACCUGAUGGGAAGAGCCGACUCACUGGAAAAGACCCUGAUGCUGGGAAAGAUUGAAUGUGGGAGGAGAAGGGGACGACAGAGGAUGAGAUGGUUGGAUGGUAUCACCGACUUAAUGGACAUGAGUUUGAACAGACUCGGGGAGAUAGUGAAGGACAGGGAAGCCUGGUGUGCUGCAGUCCAUGGGGUCGCAAAGAGUUGGACACGACUUAGCGACUGAACAAGAUUUAUAAAAUCUAUGAAUCCAGAAAAAAAGUGUCCACUUUCCACCAGACUUUAACUUCUCAUUGAAUGUAUUUUGUAGGAUGACCGACCCUCCUCCCUUCCUGCCGUUCCUUUUCACCUGAACCUGCUUUUAACCGAAGGAUGUGACCUAGCCCAGUCCCUUCCUGCCAUGACUCCUGCCCCAUUUUACCAUUACUGUGAUCCAUUGUGAGAAAUUGCUUUGAGAACUAAAGCACAGGCUGGGUCGCUUGCAGACAGCAGCACUCGCCGUCUGCAUCCUCGGUGGGCAGGCGGCACCUGUGGCCCAGCCCGUGUGCUUUCUUCAUCGUUGUCAUCGCAGCAGUCCGUCAGUGUCUUCACCCGAUCGACUCCUGCCUGCCCUUUUUUUAAAGUCAUACAUAAUGAUUGGAAUGUCCUAUCUGGUCAAGUGCUCUAACCUCGUUUCCUUCCUAGUAUCAGCAUACUUGAAAUUCUAGCUCAAACGUAGAUGCUUUCAAACAGCAAGCUGGAGAGCUAUGGAAGGAAGAACUCGGAGCUCUGGGAAGUGUGAUAACUGACCUAAAAGUCUGCUCGUGCCAGUAGCUGGCUGUGUGAUCUUGGAUGAGUUAUCCUGCCUGGGGUCAUUUCCUACCUCUGUAAUAUGGGGAGAAAGGAGUCCAGGUGUCCCAGAUGGUCCCUCCACGCCCGAGAGUCUCACUGAGCAAUUUGGUCACCCUCGGGUGCUAUAAGGCGACACGAGACAUUCCUGAGUGACUCAGGAAGUUCCAUCUCCUGUGAUCCCAGGCCCACGUGAUGCUGAAUUGUCUGUCCUAGACCUCCACAGGAAGGUGUUCCUGGGACUGGAGCAGGUUUCGCCCUCCUGCCUGUCCUCACUGUGACCCACACCUUCAGG